AGCUUCAAAAUGAGCCCCAACAUGCCCAGGUUCCGUUGAUUUUGAACUUU
RNAcentral lists this small RNA (50 nucleotides) under Caenorhabditis elegans. RNAcentral's name for it is "Unclassified non-coding RNA Y67D2.10". Lineage: Eukaryota; Metazoa; Nematoda; Chromadorea; Rhabditida; Rhabditidae. The record is from RNAcentral.